Molecule: long non-coding RNA, 2019 nt
Organism: Coregonus clupeaformis (lake whitefish)
Lineage: Eukaryota; Metazoa; Chordata; Actinopteri; Salmoniformes; Salmonidae
Exons: 3
Source: RefSeq, a predicted model, not a curated record
GUUUGGUUGAAAGACUGCGUAAAUCCCUCUUAUUCCUCUUCUGUUACAGCUGCAGCUCUUGGGAACCUGGUUUCAGACCUGGCUGGACUUGGUCUUGCAGGAUAUGUGGAAGUUCUAGCUUCCAGGCUAGGGAUGCAGGUUCCUGACUUGACCCCCAAGCAGGCGGACAUGUGGCAGACCAGGGUUAGCUCCCACAUGGGAAAAUGCAUUGGAGUCACAAUCGGAUGCAUUCUGGGAAUGUUCCCCCUGCUAUUCCUAGGGGAUGAUGAUGAGCGCAAGAAAAAAGAAGCACAAACCAACACCACAGACUCUUAACAGCAUGUGAACCAUCUUUCUGGUUUCGAGUCAAUUAAAACAUGCAUCAUCAGCAUGAUUUAAGUUGAUCUCUAACUCUGAAAACCUUUCUUCUCUAUUUCAUAAUAUAUGCCACUUAGCAGACGCUCUUAUCCAAAGUGACUUAGUCAUGGGUGCAUACAUUUUACGUACGGGUGGUCCCGGUAAUCGAACCCACUAUUCUGGCGUUGCAAGCGCCAUGCUCUACCAACUGAGCUACCAGAUAAUCUUCUGAAAAUGUAUUAUGAGCCAUUAGGCUUAUAAAGUAGUUGCAUUUGAUGGCAAGGUAUUUUCGUAGGAUGGAUUUCGUUGAUGAGUUGAACAUUUGUUUGAUUAAUUUAAACCAAUGUAUGUGAUCGUCAUGAGUCAUUGCAAGUUACUCAUAGACUCAUCCCUGUUGCCCCCUGCACUACACUGCAGUCAAUCGGUUUACAUUUAUCAUGGAGUCGUUGAAAGCUGAAAUGAAAACACAAAUCAUGGUGUCAGUCUUCAAGUUUCACAAUUUUGGCAAAAGAUAAAACCAAGGAACACGUGUAAAAUUAAAUGCCAAUGAGGUAGCAGUUUUGUUCUGAUUGAAACAACGGGUUGAACUAGCUUGUACAUUAUAGAAUAUUUUCAAAGGAUACUUCUUUUGUUGAGGAAUUUCUGUACAAUAUAUGAAGCUUUUAACUUUAUUGAUUUUGUUUGUCAACAAGGAAAAAGGGAUUACUCUAGCAUUUCAAAAUCAGGUCACAAAUGCUGUUUAUAGCACUACCAACCCAGUUUUUCAGAUGCAUAAUUACAAACAUACCUCUACUAUACUUGCACACUACAUUGAGUAGGCAUAAUGCCUUGGGUUCCUAGCAUGUCAACAUCUUAAGUUGGCUAUCUAUUAGGCUAACUAUUGAUCCAUGUCUCUUAGCCUUCACAAUUAUUUUAGCAAAGCCAAAUCAUACCAUAGAAGUGCCUCAGUUUAUUUUCAUCACAUCAAUUUUUUGACCUUUUUAAAAACAAGCACAUAAAUACUUUUUCACAAAAUAAAAUCUAACUUCAUGUUUGAAAGCGUCAUUUUUAGUCUGUACAUGUUUGUUAAUCUACUUUAUUUUGGAGAAAUUAAGGAAACAGUUCAUGAAGUGAGCUGAACGCUUAAGCGUAAAACUGCGCACUAACUACUGUAUGCGUUCUAAAACAGGUUGGAUUUAUGUGCACAGAAGAGAAGCAAUACAAUGUUUCUUAAAAUGCAAUUAAUGCACCUAUUAUUUCUUUGCCAAUAUUAUGGAGUUUUUGUAGGAUAGCUACGGAUUUGUGUUUCUGAUCGACAACCAUUUACUUAUGGUGGCCUAAAUCAGAUUUUGUUUAUAGAUGUAAUCAAACUAGUCAUAUUUAUUGUGUGAAAGACAUUCUUUGUUUUCUGUCUAUUUCUGUCAGUAUUAGUUUUCUCCGUUUGCCUUUUCUGAUUUCUGUAAAUGCAGUACUUAAACUGGAAUGCCCCUCACCACACUGCUGUAUUUCCUCACGAAUUGUAAUGAAUGUUUUUAAUGACCCUUAUUAUUUAAACUAUUACUGCCAAAUGCAGCUUUGUUGUCACCAAAGUACUUGGCUGUAAAAAAAAACUGUUGCAGCACAACCAGACUAAUAAGAAGGUGUAACAAAUGGUUUGAUCGUUUUGUUUGAAAGCAAUAAAUGUUCUGUUGUGGGUGAGUAGUA